Non-coding RNA from Microcebus murinus (gray mouse lemur), 969 nucleotides. Lineage: Eukaryota; Metazoa; Chordata; Mammalia; Primates; Cheirogaleidae. The record is from RefSeq and is a predicted model, not a curated record.
GCUGGGGCUCUGUGCAGGUCUGGGGUUCUGUGUGGGCUGUGGUUCUGUGUAGGGCUGGGCUGUGCAGUGGGGGCUUGCUCCUGUGCUGUCUGCCCCCAGGCUGGACGCCCCAGAGAGCCUGUCCGUCCUGUCUGCAUGGAGGCCCCCUGGGUCUGGGGCACACGCGGCAUAGAGCAGGCUCAGGAAAUACUGGAGAAAGGGCCCAGCGGCUGUUCCUCUGAGUCUGGCCACAGCGUCCCCCUGUCCCUUCUGUCCACAGGCCUUCGAGAUCACGUUGGCGGUGGGUGAAGGGAAGGGCGUCAACAAGCGGAUCACCUACACCAACCCCUACCCCUCCCGCAGGACGUACCACCUGCACAGCGACCACCCGGACCUGCUGCAGUUCAAGGAGGACUCCUUCCAGGUCGGAGGAGGAGAGACCUACACGAUCGGCCUGCAGUUUGCCCCUGGUCCGGGCGUGGGGGAGGAGGAGAUUCUCAUUUACAUCAACGACCACGAAGACAAAAACGAAGAGACGUUUUGUGUGAAGGUCGUCUACCAGUGAGGGCGGGGGGCGCCCGUCCUCCCUGCAGCCCCCGGCCCCUGCCCACGUGCCUGCGCUGCUCUGCGCUCCGUCCUGCCCUCGGCCGCGGGCCUCGGGGACCUGCCGGAUGACCUGUGAACUCGGCUGAGGGCGGAGCCCCCAUCACUUGUAACGCCGUGUCUGGUGGAGCAGCUGACGGCCACCGAGGCCAGUGUGAGCGGGAGCUCUGCGGUGGCUCUGGCGCGGCCCCUGCCAGCGGCCCCUGCCCGCCCGUCUCCAUCCGAAACUCUGUGUUGAUUUGCUUUUAGCAAAGUGUAUUUUACGAAUCAUCCCAGAUGAUAGGAAUUAUGUUUCUCUUACCGGAUUUUGUAUAAACAUAAUAUAUGAUUUGCCAUGCAAUGUUUUAUACUGCUAUUAAUAAUCCUUCACAUCUGUUUUUUAAGUUA